Molecule: ribosomal RNA, 198 nt
Filed under: uncultured Staphylococcus sp.
Lineage: Bacteria; Bacillati; Bacillota; Bacilli; Caryophanales; Staphylococcaceae
Description: partial 16S ribosomal RNA
Rfam family: Bacterial small subunit ribosomal RNA
Source: RNAcentral
UACUCCUACGGGAGGCAGCAGUAGGGAAUCUUCCGCAAUGGGCGAAAGCCUGACGGAGCAACGCCGCGUGAGUGAUGAAGGUUUUCGGAUCGUAAAACUCUGUUGUUAGGGAAGAACAAAUUUGUUAGUAACUGAACAAGUCUUGACGGUACCUAACCAGAAAGCCACGGCUAACUACGUGCCAGCAGCCGCGGUAAU